CUUCAAAUCAGGAGAAUAUACAAGUAUGUCGUCAAGGUACACCAUGGCACAGACAUACAAUAGAUCCCUAAGGACAUCAUUUAUGAGAUCCUGAAACACAGCAGGAGCAUUACACAGUCCAAAAGGCAUGACCAGGUAUUCGUAAUGCCCACUACGCAUAUUGAACCCUAUCUUCCACUCAUCAUUCUCCUUUAUACGGAUAAGGUUAUAAGACCCCCUGAGGUCUAAUUUAGUAAAGUACUUAGAACCUUUAAC
Pelobates cultripes (western spadefoot toad) is the source of this 255-nucleotide non-coding RNA. The record is from the annotation of a GenBank genome assembly. NCBI's taxonomy places the organism in Eukaryota, Metazoa, Chordata, Amphibia, Anura, Pelobatidae.